This 48-nucleotide non-coding RNA is filed under the name Trichobilharzia regenti. The record is from RNAcentral. Lineage: Eukaryota; Metazoa; Platyhelminthes; Trematoda; Strigeidida; Schistosomatidae.
AGUUGGCUGACGAGUCUAAAAUAGGACGAAAUGCGCGUUAUCCUGGAU